Molecule: small nucleolar RNA, 107 nt
Filed under: Nicotiana sylvestris (wood tobacco)
Lineage: Eukaryota; Viridiplantae; Streptophyta; Magnoliopsida; Solanales; Solanaceae
Description: Plant small nucleolar RNA R71
Rfam family: Plant small nucleolar RNA R71
About the family: R71 is a member of the C/D box family of snoRNAs containing the C (UGAUGA) and D (CUGA) box motifs.
Source: Rfam by way of RNAcentral
UUACAAUGAUAUGGGCAGUCUCUGAGUAGUUUCUUGUAUCAUUCUCAAGCUUGACAAAGAGUCUCACCAUCUCGUUGUUGAAACCCACGAAUCUAGAUCCUCAGUAA